Molecule: ribosomal RNA, 758 nt
Filed under: uncultured bacterium
Lineage: Bacteria
Description: bacterial SSU rRNA
Rfam family: Bacterial small subunit ribosomal RNA
Source: RNAcentral
AGAGUUUGAUCCUGGCUCAGAAUCAACGCUGGCGGCGUGCCUAACACAUGCAAGUCGAGCGAGAAAGUGGUAGCAAUACCAUGAGUAAAGCGGCGCACGGGUGAGUAACACGUGACUAACCUACCCUGGAGUGGGGAAUAACUGAGGGAAACCUUAGCUAAUACCGCAUAAUACCCACGGGUCAAAGGAGCAAUUCGCUCUGGGAGGGGGUCGCGGCCGAUUAGUUAGUUGGCGGGGUAACGGCCCACCAAGACGAUGAUCGGUAUCCGGCCUGAGAGGGCGCACGGACACACUGGAACUGAAACACGGUCCAGACUCCUACGGGAGGCAGCAGUGGGGAAUUUUGCGCAAUGGGGGAAACCCUGACGCAGCAACGCCGCGUGGAGGAUGAAGUCCUUCGGGACGUAAACUCCUUUCGAUCGGGACGAUUAUGACGGUACCGGAAGAAGAAGCCCCGGCUAACUUCGUGCCAGCAGCCGCGGUAAUACGAGGGGGGCGAGCGUUGUUCGGAAUUAUUGGGCGUAAAGGGUGCGUAGGCGGUUUGGUAAGUCUUGUGUGAAAUCUCCAGGCUCAACUUGGAGUCUGCACGAGAAACUGCCGGGCUGGAGUGUGGGAGAGGUGAGUGGAAUUUCCGGUGUAGCGGUGAAAUGCGUAGAUAUCGGAAGGAACACCUGUGGCGAAAGCGGCUCACUGGACCAUAACUGACGCUGAUGCACGAAAGCUAGGGGAGCAAACAGGAUUAGAUACCCCCGUAGUCC